UACGGAGGAGGCAAGCGUUAUCCGGAAUUAUUGGGCGUAAAGCGUCCGUAGGUGGGUGAGGAAGUCUGCUGUUAAAGAGUAAGGCUUAACCUCAUAAGGGCAGUGGAAACUCUUCGUCUAGAGUGCGACAGGGGCAAGGGGAAUUCCUAGUGUAGCGGUGAAAUGCGUAGAGAUUAGGAAGAACACCGGUGGCGAAAGCGCCUUGCUGGGUCUGCACUGACACUGAGGGACGAAAGCUAGGGGAGCGAAAGGG
This 253-nucleotide ribosomal RNA is filed under the name uncultured bacterium. Its description in RNAcentral is "partial 16S ribosomal RNA". It matches the Rfam family "Bacterial small subunit ribosomal RNA", at positions 524 to 776 of the family's 1533-position model. The record is from RNAcentral.